UUAUCAGUAAUUUAAAUAGAAAAAUAAUAGACUUCGGAUUUAUAAAUACAAGUUCAACUCCUGCCUGAUAUU
Molecule: transfer RNA, 72 nt
Filed under: Aphrocallistes vastus (cloud sponge)
Lineage: Eukaryota; Metazoa; Porifera; Hexactinellida; Sceptrulophora; Aphrocallistidae
Description: tRNA-Arg
Rfam family: tRNA
About the family: Transfer RNA (tRNA) molecules are approximately 80 nucleotides in length. Their secondary structure includes four short double-helical elements and three loops (D, anti-codon, and T loops). Further hydrogen bonds mediate the characteristic L-shaped molecular structure. tRNAs have two regions of fundamental functional importance: the anti-codon, which is responsible for specific mRNA codon recognition, and the 3' end, to which the tRNAs corresponding amino acid is attached (by aminoacyl-tRNA synthetases). tRNAs cope with the degeneracy of the genetic code in two manners: having more than one tRNA (with a specific anti-codon) for a particular amino acid; and 'wobble' base-pairing, i.e. permitting non-standard base-pairing at the 3rd anti-codon position.
Source: RNAcentral